AAAGAAAGAAAGAAAGAAAGAAAGAAAGAAAGAAAGAACCCAACUGUCCAUCAAUAGGUCUCUUGCCGCUCAGCCUCUUUGGAAUGUUCGUCUAGACCCCUGCUCAAGAUGGCUGUCUACUGAGUACUUGAAGAAGGUGACCCUGUUCCUGCUAAUCCUUCUCACCAUGAGUUCCAGGCCAUUCCAGGCUACAUCCCCGCAGUCCUGCAUGACAAGGAGAACAUCUAACGACAUCAACCUUCACUACCCCAGUCUGCCCACGUGUUUUCCGAUGGAUCCAUGGUCAGGUAAGUGAUCUUUUAAAAAUGUAAACUAGAUUCUGUCAUCUGUCCCUUACAACCCAUUAAUGCCAAUGCAGUGGGGCGCUCUGGACCAUAUCCCAGGACAGGAAAAGGAUAUUGGUGGAAAAUCCAUGAAAUCUGAAUAAAGUCUGGAGUUAAUAGUAGUGUGCCAGUGUCGGUUUCUUAGUUUUGAUUAAUGGACGGUGGUUACAUAAGACGUUAACAUUAGGGGAAAGUGGGUCAGGAGUACACAGGCACUCUCUGUGGUACCUCUGCAACUUUUCUGUAAAUGUAAAACUAUUCCAAAAUUAAGUUUAUUCAAAAAAAAAAAUGAGUGGCACCGAUUUCCCUGAGGUCAGAGUACCAAAUCUUCAACAUGACCAGCUUUCUCUCUAGCCAGACUAAACUUAUUUAAUUCUUCCAGUGGGAUAAGCCUCUUCCCUGCCUCCAGGUAUUCAGUGUCUGGCCCAUUAAUAAAUGCUUGAUAAAUAUUUGUUGAAAAUUAAUGAACAUUUUUAAAACCAGAGUUGGGUUUUUAGUAGGAAUCAGGACAGCCCAGGCAAUGCUUGAACUGUGUGGUAUGCGACUGCCCUAUGCUGUCCUCUCCUCCCUGUCUCUGCCCUCCAGACUGCUAUCCUUGAAAUUCAGCACCAGCCCCCUCCCAGUUCUGGAGACCAGGUGCCCAUUUAUGUUAAUGGGAAAAAGAAAAGGGGUCUUCUCCCCUCCUGAGAACGAUCUUCUUCCACCCACUCUGCCCCUGUCGCGCCUCCCACAACCCACUUGUAGACAGCAGUGGGUUUCUGGAAACAGUGCUGCCUCCUCUCAGGUGAUCACUACUAGAGUUAUUCCAAUGGCAGGAAUUUCAAGCUGGGUAAGAGGAGCCAUGCCAGGCUGCCAGAUGGUGGGGGGAGAUAAAUGUGGGCGAGCAAGCUUCAGACUAAAGCAAGGGAGAGGGGAUCGGGUGUUGUAAUCACAGUCAAGAAAAGGAGUCAGGUGACCCUCAUUACAUAGUAUAGAGCCCUGUUAUAAUAUCCCUUAUUACUACUCGAACUUGGAUUUAACCUGGGACAAACCCUUUUCUUCUCCUGCUUCUGCCUUCCCACCCUAAGUUAUAGCUCUUUCCCUGCGAAGUCAUCACUCUUAAUGAUAAUACUAAGAAAUAACUGUUACUAAUGGCUUUAGGUCAUUUCAUCUAAGAUGUCACAGCCAGAACAUUUUGCCCAGUUUUUCAGGUGAGCAAACGCAUUCCCAAGGUCACAUGCAGCUGAGAACAGACAGAUCUGGGAUUCAAACUCAGGUCUUUCUGGCUCAGAAACUCUUGUUCUGUUCUCCUGAGGAUGACCUAGGGGGGGAUUUGCUCUAAACCCUACAUCUUUUUUUUUUUUAAUUAAUUUUUUUUUUUUUACAUUUAUUUUUGAGAAACAGAGUGAGACAAAGCGUGAGCGGGGGAGGGGCAGAGAGAGAAGGAGAGACAGGAUCUGAAGCAGGCUCCAGGCUAAGCUGUCAGCACAGAGCCUGAUGCGGAGCUCGAACCCACAAACUGUGAGAUCAUGACCUGAGCCAAAGUUAGACGCUCAACCGACUGAGCCACCCAGGCACCCAUAAACCCUACGUCUUUUAAUGAAAAACAUAAAUGCAACAGGUCUUAGGGACAGUGAAGGCAGAGCAUUAGAAUCCCAAGCAGGCCCUCCAGAGUGGACACUGGAAGAGGGGUGGGCAACAGGGUGGGGACUCAGUGGGACGUGUCUGUUUCCUCCCCAUGUUUUGGUGACGACAGAAACUGUG
Molecule: long non-coding RNA, 2066 nt
Organism: Neofelis nebulosa (Clouded leopard)
Lineage: Eukaryota; Metazoa; Chordata; Mammalia; Carnivora; Felidae
Exons: 3
Source: RefSeq, a predicted model, not a curated record